This 497-nucleotide ribosomal RNA is filed under the name uncultured bacterium. RNAcentral's name for it is "partial 16S ribosomal RNA". It matches the Rfam family "Bacterial small subunit ribosomal RNA", at positions 28 to 507 of the family's 1533-position model. The record is from RNAcentral.
GAUGAACGCUGGCGGCGUGCCUAAUACAUGCAAGUCGAGCGAACAGACGAGGAGCUUGCUCCUCUGACGUUACCGGCGGACGGGUGAGUAACACGUGGAUAACCUACCUAUAAGACUGGGAUAACUUCGGGAAACCGGAGCUAAUACCGGAUCAUAUAUUGAACCGCAUGGUUCAUUAGUGAAAAACGGUUUUGCUGUCACUUAUAGAUGGAUCCGCGCCGCAUUAGCUAGUUGGUAAGGUAACGGCUUACCAAGGCAACGAUGCGUAGCCGACCUGAGAGGGUGAUCGGCCACACUGGAACUGAGACACGGUCCAGACUCCUACGGGAGGCAGCAGUAGGGAAUCUUCCGCAAUGGGCGAAAGCCUGACGGAGCAACGCCGCGUGAGUGAUGAAGGUCUUCGGAUCGUAAAACUCUGUUAGUAGGGAAGAACAAAUGUGUAAGUAACUAUGCACGUCUUGACGGUACCUAAUCAGAAAGCCACGGCUAACUACGUG